RNAcentral lists this long non-coding RNA (334 nucleotides) under Trifolium pratense (red clover). RNAcentral describes it as "long non-coding RNA (TPRA_LNC008053)". The record is from RNAcentral. Lineage: Eukaryota; Viridiplantae; Streptophyta; Magnoliopsida; Fabales; Fabaceae.
UCAAAUGAUCAUGCUAACUGGUGCUUCUGAGACACUAAUUAAGAAAACAAAAAGAGAAAAUUUUAUACUGGAAAGAACAUUUUAAAAAUUUGGCUACACAAUUUUCAAGAUACUUUUACUAUCUUUGAUUUCCUAAACAAGAAAUCAAAUGCAACACAGGUGCUGCGUAAGUAGUGUUGUUUUAUAAAAAGCCGAUUUGCUUUUACCCAAAACACCAGAAAUCAAAGAUUCCCUCCAUCUAAGACAAGCACUGUGUUCAUAAUUUGAAAUGGAAAAGGAUUAUCUUCACCUCAUAGGGUGUGGUAAUCUUGGAUCCACAAGUAUUGACUGCAAU